CUUAUUGCUCUGUAAAGUUGACAAGUGCUCAAACAAGUACUCAUGCAUUUUACAUGAUGCAUUUAACGGGGUCGCCGCAUGAUGAUCCUUGUGGUUUUGGUUUCGUGGGCGCAAGCGUUAAAGCGGUUAAAAAAAAAAAAAUCACGCUGAUUAAUACUCUGUGGGCGUCUUUUGAUUUGGAUGCAGGAAAACGACAGAUUAGAGUUUAAUUCACUUGAGCAACUAGACGGUUAAAAAAAAAAAACGUACGCCAAGAGAAGUCAGCUUCCGGAGUCGCGCUACUAUUUCAUCGUUUAUGCUGGGUCGUCAAACUUGCUAAAACCCCAGCGACAUGGUUGGAAACGUCUUUUUUUAUUCGUGGCUUCUUGAAACUUUGCAGUGUUUCUAAUGAUUGGUUGCCAACUGAUUUGACACCCCUCCCAAACGUUGCCAAGCGCAACCGGCUUUGGGGGACGACACUUUAAACAGCUCCACGAGGCAGCAGGCCAAUUGAUGGGGUUCAAGCUUGGCCGUUUAUGAGCAAGGAAAAGCCCUCAAUGGUGGGGAGACGGAGCAAUUUCAAGAGGGCCCCUUAAUGAAUCGACGCACUUUGCAUUCACCUCGCAUAGGAGAGCAUCUGAGGUGGAUGGCGAGCAUGAUAAAUAGGAGGGCGGGAGAGUGAAACGGGAAAUUUGGGAGUCAGACUGGAGGCAAGAUGGUGUGGAGUCACGGCGAAAACGAUUACCGUGAGAGAGAAGAGAGAGAGAGAGAGAGAGAAAAAAAGGUGCAUUGUGGGAGAAUGGGGACGAUCGACUGCGGGGAGGUAAUAAAGACAAGUGAUGAGGUGCGAGCGUGCCUCCGCUGCCCCGAAGAACCUACCUGGGAAGUGGACGAUGAGCCACUUUGCAUUCCAACAAGGUCCACGACUAAUGAGCUCAAUAAAAAGGUCGAGGUUUGAGGAUGAUCACCAGCCUUGGGAGCAUUUUAAAAGCCGUGCCCUCCAGAAACUGAACAUUCUAUUGCGAUGAGAAAGGCAAAGGAGAGUGCCCCCCCCCCCCCGCUUGCACACAGGGAAAACAGCUUUAACAAUAAGUGCUAGCAGGCACACCAAAAAACAAACAAAAAAAACAAAAACGUCAACGUCUGUAAAUGUCCAACUUGCCUGGAGAACAAACCUGCUGCUCAAAUCGCUCUCUUUCUCCGCCGCGUUGAAACAAGAAACGAUUAAAGACGACAACAAACAACAACGUGCGUUUCUCAGCCGGAACACAUCAUACUCUUUAGCGCCCGUUUUCACCUCAGUCAUUCGUCUGCCUCCCCAGUGCUGGGGGUGAUAAGGGCCUGAGGCAUUUCCGCACUAAUGAAGCAUCGGCGGUCGCAAAUCUGCCUCUGAGGACCUCUGCUAGGAAGCCGUCGCGAGAGGCCAAGGACGCAGCCGUGAUGCAUCUGAUGCAAAGAAAGACGGAUGAAUUCACGAGGCUCCGAAGGAGCAUAUGGAGUGUUGGGGAAACAAGGCGCCUGCCGUGUGUCCCCGGGAACGCUUCUCUUUGUGGCUGGGUGCGCUCAGCAGAUGACACGGUCCGAGUCGGCGUGCGAAUUCUGCAACUUGUGCGCAUGCAUAAUUGAGAAGCUGCUGCCUCACCCUCCGCGCGCCUCCCUGCAGGUUAUAUUCCCCCUUGAUCACGGCGACCGCUCCCGGACGGCGCGUGGCAGGUGAUUGACACGUGAGCACGCCACGGCGAGAGGCAGGCUAACAACGGAGAGCCAACAGACUUGCUGACGUGAGGGAGAAAAAGGAUAAAUAUGUGGGGAAGAAGCGGCGGCGAGGGUACACACACAUCACUGCGUCCCGCUGAUCUGCUUCUCUGUCUUCCUGUCAACGCCCGAGGCGCCGGGGGUCCGGCGUGCCGUCUACACGGGAGUGCCCCCCCCCGCCCCCAAGAGAGCAUCCGCACAUGCUCCGAGUAGCUUUGAGUAAGCAGGAAAGAGACAGCUCGAGUGGUGUGUGUGCGCACUGAAAUUCAGAUUAUGUAAUCCAUAUGAAAAAGCCUCCAUCAGCUUUUUGCUUUUUGUGUGGUCAGUGGCUCAUUUUGUCAAGACACACACACACACACA
Long non-coding RNA from Hippocampus comes (tiger tail seahorse), 2094 nucleotides. RefSeq lists it as uncharacterized. The record is from RefSeq and is a predicted model, not a curated record. The transcript is spliced from 2 exons. Lineage: Eukaryota; Metazoa; Chordata; Actinopteri; Syngnathiformes; Syngnathidae.